This 468-nucleotide ribosomal RNA is filed under the name uncultured bacterium. RNAcentral's name for it is "partial 16S ribosomal RNA". It matches the Rfam family "Bacterial small subunit ribosomal RNA", at positions 28 to 507 of the family's 1533-position model. The record is from RNAcentral.
GAUGAACGCUGGCGGCGUGCUUAACACAUGCCAGUCGAACGGAAAGGCCCAAGCUUGCUUGGGUACUCGAGUGGCGAACGGGUGAGUAACACGUGGGUGAUCUGCCCUGCACUUCGGGAUAAGCCUGGGAAACUGGGUCUAAUACCGGAUAGGACGAUGGUUUGGAUGCCAUUGUGGAAAGUUUUUUCGGUGUGGGAUGAGCUCGCGGCCUAUCAGCUUGUUGGUGGGGUAAUGGCCUACCAAGGCGUCGACGGGUAGCCGGCCUGAGAGGGUGUACGGCGACAUUGGGACUGAGAUACGGCCCAGAGUCCUACGGGGGGCAGAAGUGGGGAAUAUUGCACAAUGGGCGCAAGCCUGAUGCAGCGACGCCGCGUGGGGGAUGACGGCCUUCGGGUUGUAAACUCCUUUCGCUAGGGACGAAGCGUUUUUGUGACGGUACCUGGAGAAGAAGCACCGGCUAACUACGUG